UCGUGUAUUUCGCCUAUAAGAUUGUAUUUGACGUAAGAAACGAUUGUGUAGUGGACAGCAUCCGUAGUAAUAAACAAGGUAAGCUCAUCUCCCCCAGCAUUUAUUAUAGCGGUGGGCACCGUGGUUCAUAGUAGAGCGUUAAUCACGAAAGUAAAAGAAGCAAAGGAAACUGGAAACAAUUGAAGAAAGCAAAAGUCGUAAAAGAAAUGUCAAAAUAAGACGCAGUGAAGAAAAGGAAAUGUCAUCAACUCAACUAUUUCGUUAAAAAUUUAAGACAAGUAAUUUUUUUCCGCGAUUGUUAAAAGAACUCUAUUCAUGAUGAAUUUCUUCCAUGUUUUCCUUCAUAAAAUCGUAUUUUUGUAUUAUCUUGUGGGCAUUUUAUCAAGCUUUAAAAAUGUAAAUUUGAAACAUUUCAAAUUUCAAAUUUUAGAUGUUUAUAAGCACAUAGAUGCAAGGUAGUAAAUAAAACAACCAAACAAAAUCAUUGAUGCAGAAUUUUAUCCUAAUGAGCGGGAAAAGACAUUUCUUUAGAGGAAAACUGUACAACAAACAUUCCAAAGACGUAAAGCUUUUAGCAACUUGAGGAAUAUGCAACCCGCUUAACAAACAAUUGAUUGGAAUAAUUCGUCAAUCUUUUAAAGAAAAGAGAAAUUUGAUAAACAACUUUUCUUAAGGAAAACAAAUUAAUCCUCCAAUAACAAAACAAUGAGA
Molecule: non-coding RNA, 711 nt
Organism: Schizosaccharomyces pombe (fission yeast)
Lineage: Eukaryota; Fungi; Ascomycota; Schizosaccharomycetes; Schizosaccharomycetales; Schizosaccharomycetaceae
Source: the annotation of a GenBank genome assembly